CCUACGGGGGGCAGCAGUGGGGAAUAUUGGACAAUGGGCGCAAGCCUGAUCCAGCCAUGCCGCGUGAGUGAUGAAGGCCUUAGGGUUGUAAAGCUCUUUCGUCAGGGAAGAUAAUGACGGUACCUGAAGAAGAAGCCCCGGCUAACUUCGUGCCAGCAGCCGCGGUAAUACGAAGGGGGCUAGCGUUGCUCGGAAUCACUGGGCGUAAAGCGCACGUAGGCGGCUUUCUAAGUCAGGGGUGAAAUCCCGGGGCUCAACCCCGGAACUGCCUUUGAUACUGGAGAGCUUGAGUUCGGGAGAGGUGAGUGGAACUGCGAGUGUAGAGGUGAAAUUCGUAGAUAUUCGCAAGAACACCAGUGGCGAAGGCGGCUCACUGGCCCGAUACUGACGCUGAGGUGCGAAAGCGUGGGGAGCAAACAGGAUUAGAUACCCUUGUAGU
This 439-nucleotide ribosomal RNA is filed under the name uncultured Pseudorhodoplanes sp. RNAcentral describes it as "bacterial SSU rRNA". It matches the Rfam family "Bacterial small subunit ribosomal RNA", at positions 338 to 794 of the family's 1533-position model. The record is from RNAcentral. Lineage: Bacteria; Pseudomonadati; Pseudomonadota; Alphaproteobacteria; Hyphomicrobiales.